AGACGGAGGGUGCAAGCGUUGUUCGGAAUCACUGGGCGUAAAGCGCGUGUAGGCGGUUCGACAAGUCGGAUGUGAAAGCCCGAGGCUCAACCUCGGAAGUGCAUUCGAAACUGUCGGGCUAGAGUACGGGAGAGGGAAGUGGAAUUCCUGGUGUAGAGGUGAAAUUCGUAGAUAUCAGGAGGAACACCGGUGGCGAAGGCGGCUUCCUGGACCGAUACUGACGCUGAGACGCGAAAGCGUGGGGAGCAAACAGGAUUAGAAACCCUAGUAGUCC
This 274-nucleotide ribosomal RNA is filed under the name uncultured bacterium. Its description in RNAcentral is "partial 16S ribosomal RNA". It matches the Rfam family "Bacterial small subunit ribosomal RNA", at positions 523 to 796 of the family's 1533-position model. The record is from RNAcentral.